UGGCUCCCAUGAAACUAGUUUCUCCUGACAUUCGGACAUCCUCCCAGGCCACUCUCCUGUUUGCUCUGCUGGAAUCUUCUUAUUUCUUCCCUCUCUACCUGUAUCCCCCAGGUGGCAGACACUGACUUAUUGAAUCUCUUAAACACGCCAGCCAUCUCUCAGGUCUGGCUGAGGGAACUGUGCGAUAAAGCUAAGGAAGCCCACUAGUGGGUCUGUUCAGCCAUGCAGUCUCAAUCCCACCAAGUAAGCCCGGAGCAUUUCUCCCUAUGGUCUUGCAUCAUCUGAGUCUCCUCCUUCUGCCCAUGCACACAGCAGGUGACUGGACGUGAGAGGAAAAUGUCAGUGUGCAAAGCUGGCAACCAGCCCCACCUCCUUCAACAGCCCUCCUUUCUUCCUCAGUGACGACAGUCGACUUGGCAGCUGGAAUUUUCUGUCUAGGAGCAGAUUUGAUUUGUACUGGGGAGCCGUGUGCUGUAUUGAUCAGCAUGGCUUGGGUGUCAUGUGAGGGACAAUGGACUCUGACCCGGUGAAAAGAUGGAACAAAUGAAUAUACAGAGUUAGAUUCUGGGCAAGGCGGCACGGCACAGAAACAAUUGGUUUACAACCCAUCCGUUUUGCUGGACUACCCAGCUUCGGCAGUCACGAAGUGCUCCGUGAGGUGCCAUCCGGAGCACAGACUGGCCACUCAACUCCUUCCUAUGACGAGCGGAUGGGCUGCAUCAAAAGGCCAAAUGGAAGAUACAGAGAGAGGCCAGUGAAUGUGGCUUGUCAUUCGUUGAUAGCAUUGAUGUAUUUUACAGGGUGGCUUCUCCGAGAGACAACCAUGUUUAAUUGAUGACUGGGAAAUGAGGGAGGUCUUCAUAAUGGUAGCUGUGACUCUGAUUUCAAUUGCAGUGCCAGUCGGAAUGAGGACUAAUACUUCCCUGUCAAAGCAAUUAUCAUAUGAAGUUUAAAAAAAAUAAUACCCCCUGUCCAUCUCCAACCAAAAGAAGAAGAAGGAAGAGGAGAGGGAGGAGAAAGAAGCCUGAUACUAUUGAAUAAAACUAUGGGGACCACAGAAGCUCAAAACAGAACUAAUUCUUUGGACACCUAUAUAGUACAAUAUGUUCUUUAAAUGUGGUUCCUGCUACAUAACCUGAGAACCUAAUGUUGGAAGACUAAUGGGUAAAAUUUGGAGGGGGCAGAGCUUUAAUUGCUAUAAAAAUCCAAAAUGCAUAACAAAGUGUUAUGGUUUAAAUAUGAAAUGUGUCCCCCAUGUGUUUAACAUUGUUCCUCAGCUGUGGCACAGUUUUGGAGGCAGUGGGACCUUUAAGAGGUAGGGCCUCCCAGGAAGGAGUGGGUCACUGUGGUGGGCCUUGAGGGUGUUAGUCCCAGGCCUACUUCCAGUGGAGAUCUGUGCUCACUGAAUGCCACUAGGAUGUGAUCAGAUGCCAUAUAGAUCAUACACCCUGAACCGGGACCCUAAAUAACUCCUUUCCUUGUAUUGUUCCUGUCUGGUGUCCUGCCACAGUGAGAGAAGUAGGAAUUAAUAUGCCAUGGUUAGAAAGUGGUAGAUUAAAACACAUCCGGGAGGACCUGGGGACAUUGAGGGGUGUGGCUCGGUGGUACAGCACUUGGUCAGCAUGUGCAAGGCCCCUGGGUUCCAUCUAUGCUAUAGCACUAGGAAGAGGAGGCUCUGAGACAUGCAUAAGGCUAGGAAUACCACUAUUGGACAGAGAAAGAGUUAGAAAUUCCCUUGGGCUACACCAAGGCACACAGAAAUCUUCAUUGCCAACAUCACUGGAUGUACAAUCACUAUGGAAACACACCUCUAGCUGUGUCUGUGAGGGUGUUUCCAGGAAACUUCAACUCAAGAGGGAAGACCCAACCUGAAUGUGGGGAGCAUCAUCCCAGACUGUGAUCUUUGUCUGAAUAAGGAGAAAGUGAACUAAGCACCAGAAUUCCUCUCCCCCCCCCCCCUCCUGACUUUGGACACAACAUGACCAGCUGCCUCAAGCUCCUGCCCCAUGGCUUCUCUGUGAUGAUGGACUGUAACAUCAAACUAUGAGCCAAGAUGAACCUCCCCUUCCUAAAGUUUCUUGUGUCGGGUAAUUUCUCAUAGCAACAAGAGAAGUAACAAUGUGGGCACUCUGUUGUCAGGGACAAGAACAAAAUCUCUAAUUAGUGGAAAAAUACAGACCCCCGAUAAGACAGGGAACUAGAUCAUCUUACAGUCAGGUUGCCUAGCAACAGGACAUUGAGUCAGAGCCCUUGACUCUUUCACCCUGUAAACAUCCUAUACAAACAUCCUGUUAGCUUGCCCCAUCUUAUGCAGAUGACGGC
Long non-coding RNA from Peromyscus californicus insignis, 2322 nucleotides. RefSeq lists it as uncharacterized. The record is from RefSeq and is a predicted model, not a curated record. The transcript is spliced from 3 exons. NCBI's taxonomy places the organism in Eukaryota, Metazoa, Chordata, Mammalia, Rodentia, Cricetidae.